RNAcentral lists this long non-coding RNA (866 nucleotides) under Chinchilla lanigera (long-tailed chinchilla). Its description in RNAcentral is "lncRNA (ENSCLAG00000023819.1)". The record is from RNAcentral. Lineage: Eukaryota; Metazoa; Chordata; Mammalia; Rodentia; Chinchillidae.
GUCCACGCUGACGGCCUGCUUGUGGUGCCCACAGUCCGAGCGUGGCUACCAUCGAGGGGGCGGGUGAAAGGGGCACAGAGCUCCGCAUGCUAUUUCUUAACGCUGCUUGUGAAUCUACGGCUAUCUCAAAAUAUGUUCACUUUUCUUUUUUUUUUUUUUACAUGUGUGAACGUUCCCGGGCUGAAUGUUAAGAUCACGCUGCAGUCUUCCUGCACAGGAGGCGACUAGUGCUCUAAUGUUAGGACCCCACCUGGCUCCUAGCUGCCGCCCCCUCACCUCGCCGUCAGCGCGGGGCUGGAAACGAGGCGGAGAGGCAGAGGCGGCCCGGCCUCCCCGUGCAGCAGCCAAGGACUUGGCCCCCGUCCUGGCCACGAGUCGGUGGCCCUCGCCCGGCUGCCCGAGGACAGCGCCCCGGAAUCGCGCGCCCGUGGUGCAUGGUGCGAGGACCGCGCAGCCAUCCCAGACGCGCCGCACAGCUCUUCCAGCAAAAACGGCCCAGAGUUCGAGUUAAAACACAUCUGCUGGAGGCCUUGUGUUGGUGCUCGUUGCGUGCUCCACGUCAAAUCGCGGAAGAGGUUUUAAGCUCGCACACCUGGCGGAGCUGCUUGGGUCCCCUCCUCUGGCGGGGCCGAUCCAGGCUUCGCCGUGUCCCCCGCACGAGGAAGUCCUGUCCUCGCCGACGUCGCUGCGCAGAGGAAGGGGGAGGAUGCCUACUUGUUUAAUUGUGAAAAUUCUGUCGCACUGUGUUCUGGAAGGGACCCUCUCAUUCUGUCCGACCUAGUUUAAGGUGGCGGUAACAUCGCGAUUAACAGCUGAAGACGGAAAACGCACCCUUCUCCCUUAUUAAAGAGGCGUUCUUUGGUUUU